UACGGGAGGCAGCAGUGGGGAAUAUUGCACAAUGGGCGAAAGCCUGAUGCAGCUAUGCCGCGUGUAUGAAGAAGGCCUUAGGGUUGUAAAGUACUUUCAUCGGGGAGGAAAAACAAAACUAAUAAUUUUAUUUCUUGACGUUACCCGAAAAAGAAGCACCGGCUAACUCCGUGCCAGCAGCCGCGGUAAUACGGAGGGUGCUAGCGUUAAUCAGAAUUACUGGGCGUAAAGAGCACGUAGGUGGUUUUUUUAAGUCAGAUGUGAAAUCCCUGGGCUUAACCUGGAACUGCAUUUUGAAACUGAAAUACUAGAGUAUCGUAGAGGGAGGUAGAAUUCUAGGUGUAGCGGUGAAAUGCGUAGAUAUCUGGAGGAAUACCUGUGGCGAAAGCGGCCUCCUAAACGAAUACUGACACUGAGGUGCGAAAGCGUGGGGAGCGAAACAGGGAUUAGGA
RNAcentral lists this ribosomal RNA (452 nucleotides) under uncultured bacterium. RNAcentral describes it as "bacterial SSU rRNA". It matches the Rfam family "Bacterial small subunit ribosomal RNA", at positions 340 to 783 of the family's 1533-position model. The record is from RNAcentral.